GAUUAUUAGAUUAACAUACUGUUUCAGUAGAAGUGUAAAAGCUACGCUAAAUCAAAGUUGGUAUUUAUUAAUCUAUUUCAGAUUGGGAAGAUCUUACUUCAGCUGCCUACUCUAGUGCUCAUGGUUUUGUGGUGCUCAAGCAAUAUAGGGAAGACAGAUCAAAUAUGUAAAUGAUCCAGAAUUUGCAUACUAGCAGACUAGCAGAUUAUGUUGGUAAAUAGGUCAACCAGAAAAAUUCGUAAUCAUGAAACCGAGCUCGUACCUGGUGACCAAAAACCCUAGCCAUAAUGAUGUCAUUAUAGCCAGAGAGUACUCGAGCAACAUCACGAGUCUCCUCACGCUUGCCCAUUUGGAUAUCAUCAGGACCCAAAUAGAUAGCAUGCCCACCAAGUAAGAAGAAUCCUGUCUCAAAUGAAACACGGGUCCUCAUUGA
Long non-coding RNA from Panicum virgatum (switchgrass), 433 nucleotides. RefSeq lists it as uncharacterized. The transcript has 2 exons. The record is from RefSeq and is a predicted model, not a curated record. NCBI's taxonomy places the organism in Eukaryota, Viridiplantae, Streptophyta, Magnoliopsida, Poales, Poaceae.